RNAcentral lists this RNase P RNA (374 nucleotides) under Mycoplasma suis str. Illinois. Its description in RNAcentral is "Bacterial RNase P class B". It matches the Rfam family "Bacterial RNase P class B". Rfam says of the family: Ribonuclease P (RNase P) is a ubiquitous endoribonuclease, found in archaea, bacteria and eukarya as well as chloroplasts and mitochondria. Its best characterised activity is the generation of mature 5'-ends of tRNAs by cleaving the 5'-leader elements of precursor-tRNAs. Cellular RNase Ps are ribonucleoproteins. The record is from Rfam by way of RNAcentral. Lineage: Bacteria; Bacillati; Mycoplasmatota; Mollicutes; Mycoplasmatales; Mycoplasmataceae.
GGGAUAAGUGAGUAGCUCUCCUAGAGCUAUUUUAGGGGAGAGGAAAGUCCAUGCUUGCAUAGACUGAGAUGUCUAUAGUGUUUGUGUAAGUACAUAAAAAAUAAAACUUAACGGCUAGAGAAAUCUAGUUGAUGGCGGAAAAUAAUUCUAAGUAGCCUAAAGCUAUAUGAAUUAGUUUCUUUAAAGUGCCACAGAGACGAGCUUUACAGAAAUGUAAAAGUGUGAAACGCGGUAAACCCCUCAAGCAAGAAACCUAAAUAAUGGUAAGGGAAUUUAAGCUUAGGAAUUCAACUAAGCUUAGGAAUUUAGUUGAAAAACUAAAUUAGAUUAAUUACUCACAUUUUCUCGAAAAAUACAGAACAUGGCUUAUUAAU